AACGAACGCUGGCGGCAGGCUUAACACAUGCAAGUCGAGCGCUGUAGUAAUACAGAGCGGCGCACGGGUGAGUAACACGUGGGAACGUGCCCUUUGGUUCGGAAUAACUCAGGGAAACUUGAGCUAAUACCGGAUAAGCCCUUACGGGGAAAGAUUUAUCGCCAUUGGAGCGGCCCGCGUCUGAUUAGCUAGUUGGUGGGGUAAAAGCCCACCAAGGCGACGAUCAGUAGCUGGUUUGAGAGAACGACUAGCCACACUGGGACUGAGACACGGCCCA
This 277-nucleotide ribosomal RNA is filed under the name uncultured bacterium. RNAcentral describes it as "partial 16S ribosomal RNA". It matches the Rfam family "Bacterial small subunit ribosomal RNA", at positions 29 to 333 of the family's 1533-position model. The record is from RNAcentral.